UCUGUUGUGGCGCAUGCUAAAUCGGAAACACCCAGGAGAGGGAAUUCUGGGAGACAUACUUCAGCCUAGCCAAGGUGAUGUAUUACAAACCCACCGUGUUUAUUAUGAAAUUGAAUGGUUUGCAUUUGGCUCUGGAGUCAGAUUUCCCAGGUUUGAAUUGCAGCUCCUGUAUUUCAAGAUAAUCCAUUCCCAUUGACAGCCCUUGAUCAGCAAGCCACUGGCCAGCAUAGGAAAUGUGAAGGAGUCAGGCUGAUAGAACAAGAGAAGGACACCUAACUUGAAGGGAGCUAGACUCGACAGGUCAGCUCUCUGUAGUUCCUGUGGCCACACCGGGAAAGAUGAACUUGACUUAACAUGUCACUCCUCAGGAAAUCAUACAGAGUGGUGUAAAUCAGUCAAAGCUGGCCACCCGAACUGAAAUGCCAUGAAGAAGCAAUCAUGGGACAUGUUUACCGCCACAUGCAAGCCAGAGUUCUGAGGGAGAGAGACCCACUGGAAGACAGUCAGGAGGAAAUAGGAGAAAGUUGAGCUGAUACACUGAGCAGCGGAUAAGCCAUCACAGAAAGGGAUCUGUUUGACUCCAGGACACAACGAUUAUCUGUUCUUGCCCUCUGCAAGGACUGGUGAUUGAACUCAGGACCUUGUGCUUGCAAGGCAGGGCAUCGAACUCAGGACCUUGAGCUUGUGAGGCAGGCUCGGUGCCACUCAGCUAAAUCCCUAGCUGAAAGAGGAUCUUGCUGUGUUCUCCAGGAGUUCCUGGUGUCACCUAAUCUUCCUGCCUCAGCUACCUGAGUAGAUGGGACUACAGGCGUGUACCACGAU
Molecule: long non-coding RNA, 822 nt
Filed under: Heterocephalus glaber (naked mole-rat)
Lineage: Eukaryota; Metazoa; Chordata; Mammalia; Rodentia; Bathyergidae
Description: lncRNA (ENSHGLG00000047577.1)
Source: RNAcentral